AUAGUAAGAUGGCUUAUCGCCGCUUGUUUACAAGAGGAGGAAAGUCCACGCAAUAAAGAGCACUAUACUUCCUAACGGGAAGUGGGCCGUGAGGUUCAAGUAGCAUAACAGAAAAUAACCGCCUCUUUCUGGAGGUAAGGAUGAAAAUGUGAGGUAAGAGCUCACGUGCAGUUGUGGUAACAUGAUUGUAGUAUGUCUUAUAGAUUGAAAGUUCAAGUAUACCAACAUAGAUUUGCUCGGUCGUUAUUGUUGGAGGGUAGAACGAUACAGGCUGUUGGUAACACCAGUCGUAGAUAAAUGAUAGGCGCCUUAUUUUUUAAGGUACAGAACGUGGCUUAUAAUCUUACUAUUCCC
Molecule: RNase P RNA, 354 nt
Filed under: Gammaproteobacteria bacterium
Lineage: Bacteria; Pseudomonadati; Pseudomonadota; Gammaproteobacteria
Description: RNase P RNA component class A
Rfam family: Bacterial RNase P class A
About the family: Ribonuclease P (RNase P) is a ubiquitous endoribonuclease, found in archaea, bacteria and eukarya as well as chloroplasts and mitochondria.
Source: RNAcentral